This is a long non-coding RNA of Corvus hawaiiensis (hawaiian crow), 510 nucleotides long. RefSeq lists it as uncharacterized. The transcript has 3 exons. The record is from RefSeq and is a predicted model, not a curated record. Lineage: Eukaryota; Metazoa; Chordata; Aves; Passeriformes; Corvidae.
CUACAUCAGCUGCAGGGGAGUGUGGUAGAUUUGGGGGAUAAAGGUUCCCUGAGCCAUGGAAAGGCCAGCUCUCUGCCUGGGGACCUCCGAGAGGGUGGAUUUCAUGAGAAAUGUUCUUUAUUUACUCAGCCAGCCACAGCCAGCAGCUGAGCUCAGAGCGGGGAAGUGGACCACACAGCAGCAGAAAGUCCUGGAAAUCUGCGAGGGAGACCGUUCCCAGCACCCUUCCCUCUGCUGUCGCCCCUGUAUACAGUUGGCUAUGGAGGAUGUAUGGCUCUGUAUUGCUCCAACUCAGUGAGUUGCACACGUGGUCUCUCUGACAAACCAAGUGGACCAGGACUGGGGUCACCUCAUCUCAACUGCCCUGUCUGCUCCAUCCCCAGCACAUCAGACCCUGCUGUCUCUCCUCUGCUCCCGCUCCUGAUGCAUCCUAAAGGCUAUGUGUGGCCUAUAACUUCUCCUUUUCUCAAAUAAACCAAAAAACCCAACCAAAAAAACUACAGUAGAAGC